RNAcentral lists this ribosomal RNA (604 nucleotides) under uncultured bacterium. RNAcentral describes it as "bacterial SSU rRNA". It matches the Rfam family "Bacterial small subunit ribosomal RNA", at positions 881 to 1496 of the family's 1533-position model. The record is from RNAcentral.
UACGAACGCAAGUCUGAAACUCAAAGGAAUUGACGGGGGCCCGCACAAGCGGUGGAUUAUGUGGUUUAAUUCGAUGAUACGCGAGGAACCUUACCAAGGCUUAAAUGGGAAUUGAUCGGUUUAGAAAUAGACCUUCCUUCGGGCAAUUUUCAAGGUGCUGCAUGGUUGUCGUCAGCUCGUGCCGUGAGGUGUUAGGUUAAGUCCUGCAACGAGCGCAACCCCUGUCACUAGUUGCCAUCAUUCAGUUGGGGACUCUAGUGAGACUGCCUACGCAAGUAGAGAGAAAGGUGGGGAUGACGUCAAAUCAUCACGGCCCUUACGCCUUGGGCCACACACGUAAUACAAUGGCCGGUACAGAGGGCAGCUACACAGCGAUGUGAUGCAAAUCUCGAAAGCCGGUCUCAGUUCGGAUUGGAGUCUGCAACUCGACUCUAUGAAGCUGGAAUCGCUAGUAAUCGCGCAUCAGCCAUGGCGCGGUGAAUACGUUCCCGGGCCUUGUACACACCGCCCGUCAAGCCAUGGAAGUCUGGGGUACCUGAAGUCGGUGACCGUAGAAGGAGCUGCCUAGGGUAAAACAGGUAACUAGGGCUAAGUCGUAACAAGG